This 494-nucleotide ribosomal RNA is filed under the name uncultured bacterium. RNAcentral's name for it is "bacterial SSU rRNA". It matches the Rfam family "Bacterial small subunit ribosomal RNA", at positions 28 to 507 of the family's 1533-position model. The record is from RNAcentral.
GAUGAACGCUAGCUACAGGCUUAACACAUGCAAGUCGAGGGGAAACGACAUCGAAAGCUUGCUUUUGAUGGGCGUCGACCGGCGCACGGGUGAGUAACGCGUAUCCAACCUGCCCACCACUUGGGGAUAACCUUGCGAAAGUAAGACUAAUACCCGAUGAUAUCUCUAGAAGACAUCUUGAAAAGGGGAUUAAAGAUUUAUCGGUGAUGGAUGGGGAUGCGUCUGAUUAGCUUGUUGGCGGGGCAACGGCCCACCAAGCCUACGAUCAGUAGGGGUUCUGAGAGGAAGGUCCCCCACAUUGGAACUGAGACACGGUCCAAACUCCUACGGGAGGCAGCAGUGAGGAAUAUUGGUCAAUGGGCGCAGGCCUGAACCAGCCAAGUCGCGUGAGGGAUGACGGUCCUACGGAUUGUAAACCUCUUUUGUCGGGAGUAACGUGCGGGACGGGUCCCGUAUUGAGAGUACCCGAAGAAAAAGCAUCGGCUAACUCCGUG